This 202-nucleotide long non-coding RNA is filed under the name Elaeis guineensis (African oil palm). RNAcentral describes it as "long non-coding RNA (EGUI_LNC003624)". Lineage: Eukaryota; Viridiplantae; Streptophyta; Magnoliopsida; Arecales; Arecaceae. The record is from RNAcentral.
GCGACUUCCAAUGUUUACUUAGCUUCCAUCAGAGCCCUAUGCAUCUUCUAGGUCUCCAGUAGGCUUUUUCAAGCUCCCCAAUUGCAGUUGUUUUGAUUCCUUGCACUCUUUGUUCAUUCUCCAACCUAACUAGUCCCUAAUGCUUGGUGAAUGAUAGCCGGCUUUUUCUAUUUCCUUCUUCUCCAAGGAAUGUCCCUUAGUA